GACGAACGCUGGCGGCGUGCCUAAUACAUGCAAGUCGAGCGAACAGACGAGGAGCUUGCCUCUUUUCCGUUAGCGGCGGACGGGUGAGUAACACGUGGAUAACCUACCUACAAGACUGGGAUAACUUCGGGAAACCGGAGCUAAUACCGGAUAACAUGUUGAACCGCAUGGUUCAACAUUGAAAGACGGCUUUUCUGUCACUUCUAGCUGGAUCCGCGCCGCAUUAGCUAGUUGGUAAGGUAACGGCUUCCCAAGGGGACGAGGGGUAGACGCCCUGAGAGGGGGGGGGGGCACACUGGGAGUGGGAAACGGCCCAGAGCACUAAGGGGGGGAGCCGGAGGGAAUAGUUCGGAAUGGGGGGAAGACUGAGGGGGGGACGCCGCGGGGGGGAAGAAGGGGGUCGGGUCGGGAAAAUCUGUUGUGUGGGGGGAAAGAGAGUGGUUAGAAGAGGGAGGCGGGGUGACGGUACCUCAAGAGAAAGCCCCGGCUAAAUACGUG
Molecule: ribosomal RNA, 498 nt
Filed under: uncultured bacterium
Lineage: Bacteria
Description: partial 16S ribosomal RNA
Rfam family: Bacterial small subunit ribosomal RNA
Source: RNAcentral